AGUGAACGCUGGCGGUAGGCCUAACACAUGCAAGUCGAACGGCAGCACAGUAAGAGCUUGCUCUUACGGGUGGCGAGUGGCGGACGGGUGAGGAAUACAUCGGAAUCUACUUUUUCGUGGGGGAUAACGUAGGGAAACUUACGCUAAUACCGCAUACGACCUACGGGUGAAAGCAGGGGAUCUUCGGACCUUGCGCGAUUGAAUGAGCCGAUGUCGGAUUAGCUAGUUGGCGGGGUAAAGGCCCACCAAGGCGACGAUCCGUAGCUGGUCUGAGAGGAUGAUCAGCCACACUGGAACUAAGACACGGUCCAGACUCCUACGGGAGGCAGCAGUGGGGAAUAUUGGACAAUGGGCGCAAGCCUGAUCCAGCCAUACCGCGUGGGUGAAGAAGGCCUUCGGGUUGUAAAGCCCUUUUGUUGGGAAAGAAAAGCAGCAGGUUAAUACCCCGCUGUCCUGACGGUACCCAAAGAAUAAGCACCGGCUAACUUCGUG
RNAcentral lists this ribosomal RNA (492 nucleotides) under uncultured bacterium. RNAcentral describes it as "partial 16S ribosomal RNA". It matches the Rfam family "Bacterial small subunit ribosomal RNA", at positions 29 to 507 of the family's 1533-position model. The record is from RNAcentral.